UAACGAACGAGAUCUUAACCUGCUAAUUAGCGGUAAAUACACUAUAUUCUUAAGUGAAAUUAGAAUAUAGAUAAAUUGUGCUAAUUUUGAUUAAAAUAUUAGAAUGUUUUUUUUAAUAAAAACGUUCUUUUCCCUUUUUUUCUUAAUUAUGCAUAUUUAUUUUUUUUCUUCUUUUGCAUAAGAAUGUAUUUGCUUAAUUGUAAAGCUUCUUAGAGGAACA
Molecule: ribosomal RNA, 220 nt
Filed under: Plasmodium malariae
Lineage: Eukaryota; Apicomplexa; Aconoidasida; Haemosporida; Plasmodiidae
Description: partial 18S ribosomal RNA
Source: RNAcentral